Molecule: ribosomal RNA, 464 nt
Filed under: Vreelandella stevensii
Lineage: Bacteria; Pseudomonadati; Pseudomonadota; Gammaproteobacteria; Oceanospirillales; Halomonadaceae
Description: partial 16S ribosomal RNA
Rfam family: Bacterial small subunit ribosomal RNA
Source: RNAcentral
CCUACGGGUGGCUGCAGUGGGGAAUAUUGGACAAUGGGCGAAAGCCUGAUCCAGCCAUGCCGCGUGUGUGAAGAAGGCCUUCGGGUUGUAAAGCACUUUCAGUGGGGAAGAAAGCCUUGGGGCUAAUACCCUCGAGGAAGGACAUCACCCACAGAAGAAGCACCGGCUAACUCCGUGCCAGCAGCCGCGGUAAUACGGAGGGUGCGAGCGUUAAUCGGAAUUACUGGGCGUAAAGCGCGCGUAGGCGGUCUGAUAAGCCGGUUGUGAAAGCCCCGGGCUCAACCUGGGAACGGCAUCCGGAACUGUCAGGCUAGAGUGCAGGAGAGGAAGGUAGAAUUCCCGGUGUAGCGGUGAAAUGCGUAGAGAUCGGGAGGAAUACCAGUGGCGAAGGCGGCCUUCUGGACUGACACUGACGCUGAGGUGCGAAAGCGUGGGUAGCAAACAGGAUUAGAUACCCGGUCGUC